Molecule: RNA transcript, 1558 nt
Organism: Daphnia magna
Lineage: Eukaryota; Metazoa; Arthropoda; Branchiopoda; Diplostraca; Daphniidae
Exons: 6
Source: RefSeq, a predicted model, not a curated record
GAAAGGUGGCAGUGUGAAGGCAGUGACGGCAGUUGUUAAUUGCAGUAUAAUCCCUUCAGCUUUUGGAUGUCCGUCUAACCAAUGACCAAAGCAACACAAGAUCAUUUUUGAAUUGGGAGAAAUCAAUGAAUGACGUCAAGCAAAAUGGCGAAGAGAAUUUGCUUACCGCGGUUUCGGUGGCAAGUGCAACGGGGAAUGUUGACGUUGGCAUGAAAAAGGGGGCAGGACCAAUGCGCUCUUGACUCUUUAGUUUGGUGCUUACAGUCGUUUGUUCCAACCAGAAAGCGACGUGUUUGUUGAGAAACAGUCGUGUUUCAGACGCAUCGUUGGAAACACUUGAUUUCUUUAUUACGUAACCAAACUCGAAGAAAAAUGGAUCAUUUUUCGUCUGGAAAUGGAGUUCAAGCGACAAAUUCAAACGCAGAACCGGUAAAAAACAAUGCAGCUGAUUUAUGUAAUGUCAAGCAGAAACAAAAGCAUUCAGUGCUUUGCACCGUGACGCAAGAAAACAUGCGCAUGCGCCAAACCAUUGACCAAACGACGCGUAAAAUGAACCAAUGGAUACGUCAAACUCAACAACAAACUGGGAGCUUCAUAAAGCUCAUGGACACGCUCAAGGCGUCCAUGCCGAACCAGAACAACUCACGACACAAUUUAGACGCAAUGAUUAAACAGAUGAAAGAUCGGGAGUCCCGAUGGGCUCAAGAAAGGCUGGCCUUUGAAGACAUGCAAAAACGUUCGACGACUAAAUAAUUUUCAGUCAGCAACGAGAAAUCACCGGAAUUCCGGGUGGUGACCUCGGUGAUAACAAGGUUUAAACGAGGAAAGGGUUCAAUAACUUGUGUUGAAAAUCCAUCCUUGAAGUGCCGGUAACGGCCGCUUGUGGUGCGAGUGUCCCACGUUCGCAGGGUGGACUUCUAUCUGCAACCAUCUGUGCGUUGCAUUCAUCACGUUUGCAACGCUUUUCAUCAUCGAGUUGAAAAAUAUCGUUACUGUCGCGCGCGAAUCAUUAGUCGUUUUGGUCGGUACAUUUGGCUUGCCAUAAUCUUUACCCAAAAAACGCUGGUGUCCCGGACAACGUGACGUGAGUGGGUGUAACACGAAUAUUUUUGUUAGUCUUAAUAUAAACGGAAGUCGGUAAAUGUUGCUAUGAUAACGCCACGCUGCAAUUGUCGUUGAGGCUUUGCGUUCAGUGGUUUCCUGCGUCUGUUGCUCGUCAAAUGUUGUAAUUAUUUUCAACGAAACGCGUUAACCGCUAUACUUAGCAAACAUUAUAAAGGAAAAUCAAAAUCGCGCAGAGAGGGAUUGCAAAAUCUGCAUAGAUGAACCCAAUACAGCGAAUAGGUGGCGCGCAAUCAACUGAGGGGGGAGGACUUAACGAAUUUUGGUUCCUCUUUCUCGUAGUACUGCCAUCUGUUUGGCAUCACAGACGGAACGGUGCGCACAGACACGUGGAAUCAGAGGUGGAGUGAAGAAAAACUCGUCUCUCCUUUCUUUCUUGCGAAUGUAAAGGAGAAAAUGAAAACAGGUGCUAAUAGAGUUAACGAAUGGGAGAGAA